RNAcentral lists this long non-coding RNA (537 nucleotides) under Junco hyemalis (dark-eyed junco). RNAcentral describes it as "lncRNA (ENSJHYG00000012832.1)". The record is from RNAcentral. Lineage: Eukaryota; Metazoa; Chordata; Aves; Passeriformes; Passerellidae.
GGAAAUAGCAGGAUUUGUGGGGGUUUGUAGGAUUUCAGGCUCAGGCUUUGAGGCACUCAAGAGGACUGAGAUGCUACUAAAGUCAGAGCCUCUGUCACCAUUAAUGCCUCAAGUUGUUCUCCUUCUGCAUAGCUACAGGUGCAUGCUGGAGGCAGAAGCUGGGCUGGUGGAGCUUGGGAGCUGUGUCUGCAGCUGCCUCCAGGAACACCAACCAGUGCUGUGUGGCACCACUUUGCAAAUUGUGAAGCCUCUGCUUGCAACCCUCACGGUGAUGACCAUGCAGCAAAUGUGGACAAACCAGUGAGGAAAUGGGAGAAAGGACCAUCAGCUCAUUGCCAUGCUGGUUGCCACUGAAUUUUGAUGAGUGAGUGUCUGCCUCUCUGCCCCCAUGGGAAACCCUCAACAUACUUUAAUUCCUAUUGAUUUCUGUCUGACAAAAGUGAUAUCUAACUCACAGUUUAUAGAAGUCAAAAUCUGAGGUCUUUUAUUCUGACUUUGAUCAAUAAAUUUCUUUUCCUCAUGGAAAGCCUGGGGGCA